CAGUAGCCACGGUAAUGCGAAGGGUGCAAGCGUUACUCGGAAUUACUGGGCGUAAAGCGUGUGUAGGUGGUUGUUUAAGUCUGUCGUGAAAGCCCUGGGCUCAACCUGGGAAUUGCGAUGGAUACUGGGCGACUAGAGUGCGGUAGAGGAUAGUGGAAUUUCCGGUGUAGCAGUGAAAUGCGUAGAGAUCGGAAGGAACAUCUGUGGCGAAGGCGACUAUCUGGGCCAACACUGACACUGAGACACGAAAGCGUGGGGAGCAAACGGGAUUAGAUACCCGCGUAGUCCCUGUCUCUUAUAC
RNAcentral lists this ribosomal RNA (301 nucleotides) under uncultured bacterium. RNAcentral describes it as "partial 16S ribosomal RNA". It matches the Rfam family "Bacterial small subunit ribosomal RNA", at positions 509 to 807 of the family's 1533-position model. The record is from RNAcentral.